UACAGAGGUCCCAAGCGUUGUUCGGAUUCAUUGGGCGUAAAGGGUGCGUAGGCGGCGCGGUAAGUCGGGUGUGAAAUCUCGGGGCUUAACUCCGAAACUGCAUUCGAUACUGCCGCGCUUGAGGACUGGAGAGGAGACUGGAAUUUACGGUGUAGCGGUGAAAUGCGUAGAUAUCGUAAGGAAGACCAGUGGCGAAGGCGGGUCUCUGGACAGUUCCUGACGCUGAGGCACGAAGGUCAGGGGAGCAAACGGG
Molecule: ribosomal RNA, 253 nt
Filed under: uncultured bacterium
Lineage: Bacteria
Description: partial 16S ribosomal RNA
Rfam family: Bacterial small subunit ribosomal RNA
Source: RNAcentral